RNAcentral lists this ribosomal RNA (681 nucleotides) under uncultured bacterium. RNAcentral's name for it is "bacterial SSU rRNA". It matches the Rfam family "Bacterial small subunit ribosomal RNA", at positions 67 to 719 of the family's 1533-position model. The record is from RNAcentral.
CGCUUCUUUUUCCACCGGAGCUUGCUCCGCCGGAAAAAGAGGAGUGGCGAACGGGUGAGUAACACGUGGGUAACCUGCCCAUCAGAAGGGGAUAACACUUGGAAACAGGUGCUAAUACCGUAUAACAAUCAAAACCGCAUGGUUUUGAUUUGAAAGGCGCUUUCGGGUGUCGCUGAUGGAUGGACCCGCGGUGCAUUAGCUAGUUGGUGAGGUAACGGCUCACCAAGGCCACGAUGCAUAGCCGACCUGAGAGGGUGAUCGGCCACAUUGGGACUGAGACACGGCCCAAACUCCUACGGGAGGCAGCAGUAGGGAAUCUUCGGCAAUGGACGAAAGUCUGACCGAGCAACGCCGCGUGAGUGAAGAAGGUUUUCGGAUCGUAAAACUCUGUUGUUAGAGAAGAACAAGGAUGAGAGUAACUGUUCAUCCCUUGACGGUAUCUAACCAGAAAGCCACGGCUAACUACGUGCCAGCAGCCGCGGUAAUACGUAGGUGGCAAGCGUUGUCCGGAUUUAUUGGGCGUAAAGCGAGCGCAGGCGGUUUCUUAAGUCUGAUGUGAAAGCCCCCGGCUCAACCGGGGAGGGUCAUUGGAAACUGGGAGACUUGAGUGCAGAAGAGGAGAGUGGAAUUCCAUGUGUAGCGGUGAAAUGCGUAGAUAUAUGGAGGAACACCAGUGGCGAA